GAGGAAUAUUGGUCAAUGGACGAGAGUCUGAACCAGCCAAGUAGCGUGAAGGAUGACUGCCCUAUGGGUUGUAAACUUCUUUUAUACGGGAAUAAAGUGAGGCACGUGUGCCUUUUUGUAUGUACCGUAUGAAUAAGGAUCGGCUAACUCCGUGCCAGCAGCCGCGGUAAUACGGAGGAUCCGAGCGUUAUCCGGAUUUAUUGGGUUUAAAGGAGCGUAGGCGGACGCUUAAGUCAGUUGUGAAAGUUUGCGGCUCAACCGUAAAAUUGCAGUUGAUACUGGGUGUCUUGAGUACAGUAGAGGCAGGCGGAAUUCGUGGUGUAGCGGUGAAAUGCUUAGAUAUCACGAAGAACUCCGAUUGCGAAGGCAGCUUGCUGGACUGUAACUGACGCUGAUGCUCGAAAGUGUGGGGUAUUCAAAACAGGAUUAGAUACCCUGGUAGUCCACACAGUAAACG
RNAcentral lists this ribosomal RNA (457 nucleotides) under uncultured bacterium. RNAcentral describes it as "bacterial SSU rRNA". It matches the Rfam family "Bacterial small subunit ribosomal RNA", at positions 356 to 808 of the family's 1533-position model. The record is from RNAcentral.